GUGGAAUUCUGGAAAUUGGAAUUGCUCUACAACACAGACUCAGGCAGCCAGCCACAAUGAUGUGCCACUGGGACCUUGGUCCAUAUUACUGAUGAUCCAUGGAACUUGAGCAGUUUACCUGGUCAGAUGAAUGCUGACACCACUACAGGAAAGAACAAGCAUUGCCGUCGGGUCUGUGAAGAGAUUGUGUCCUUGUAGAAAUCUGUCAGUACGGAAUUCUUCCAGUAUGUGCUCUCAGUGAAGGAUGACUGAGAAUGCCCUGCAAUCAGGAACAAGGAGAUUUAUUCGAGGGGACUGUUCUCAAUAGAAUGUUACUUCAGCUUUUGGUCAAAGCAAGCUUCGUCAUUGCAGACCUGCAAGCCUCAAGGCAGGUAGGUGUUCCUCCUGUCUUAUUUUUCAGUAUAUCAAAUCUUGUUUUCAGCUACAGUGAGGAGAU
Lonchura striata (white-rumped munia) is the source of this 436-nucleotide non-coding RNA. The record is from RefSeq and is a predicted model, not a curated record. Lineage: Eukaryota; Metazoa; Chordata; Aves; Passeriformes; Estrildidae.